This 455-nucleotide ribosomal RNA is filed under the name uncultured bacterium. RNAcentral's name for it is "SSU rRNA". It matches the Rfam family "Bacterial small subunit ribosomal RNA", at positions 26 to 518 of the family's 1533-position model. The record is from RNAcentral.
AGAACGAACGCUGGCGGCAUGCCUAACACAUGCAAGUCGAACGUGAUCCAGGCUUCGGCCUGGUGAAAGUGGCAGACGGGUGAGUAACGCGUGGGAACCUGCCCUGUGGUAGGGAAUAACCGUGGGAAACUGCGGCUAAUACCCUAUGAGUCCUUCGGGAGAAAGAUUUAUCGCCAUAGGAGGGGCCCGCGUCGGAUUAGGUAGUUGGUGGGGUAACGGCCUACCAAGCCUUCGAUCCGUAGCUGGUCUGAGAGGAUGAUCAGCCACACUGGGACUGAGAUACGGCCCAGACUCCUACGGGAGGCAGCAGUGGGGAAUAUUGGACAAUGGGGGCAACCCUGAUCCAGCAAUGCCGCGUGGAUGAUGAAGGCCUUCGGGUUGUAAAGUCCUUUCGGCGGGGAAGAUGAUGACGGUACCCGCAGAAGAAGCCCCGGCUAACUCGCGCCAGCAGCCGC